CCGAUGAGCCCACAGCUCCCACCCCAAAGGCACAUCCUCUCUUGCCCCUGCAGCCUUGAAUGGACCUGGGCCACAUGUGGUGCCCAGUGGUGCAAUUGCAGUCCCCGUGAGGCUGAGCUCUGUGUUGUCCCCUUCAAGGAGCAAUCUGUGCCGGUGACGCUGGAGGAGGUGACGGUGCACUUCUCGGCAGAGGAGUGGGCGCUGCUGGAGGAGUGGCAGCGGGAGCUGCACCGCGAGGUGACGGCGGCGACGGCGCAGCUGUUGGCAUCACUGGAUGGACCACAAGAUGCAGCCGCAGGGCAGGAGCCGCGAGGACCCCCUGGCAGUGCAUCCCUCUGUGCCCUGGUGCGCCUGGUGAGGGACAUCCCACAGUUCCUCUUCGGCAGCUCCAAUGGUGCAGGGCCGCGUGCUGCUGCUGGUGGGGAUACAGCACUGCGACCUGAGUUUCUGGGUGCAGGUGGUGAAGCACAGGCGGCUCUGGAGAAUUCCAAUCUCGAUGUCUUGGAGGGAGCGGCACCGUCGCGGCAUGGCAGCCCCAGCAGCACAGCAGCCAUAGCACCGCGGUGGGGGAAAGCCCUGGUGACACCACACUUCCACCAAAUGGAGAUCUCAAAGUGGACGAGCAUGAACAUGUCCAUUGGGGACAGUGGGACAGAGGAGCAG
Molecule: long non-coding RNA, 663 nt
Filed under: Gallus gallus (chicken)
Lineage: Eukaryota; Metazoa; Chordata; Aves; Galliformes; Phasianidae
Description: long non-coding RNA NONGGAT003599
Source: RNAcentral